UACGUAGGGUGCGAGCGUUGUCCGGAAUUACUGGGCGUAAAGAGUUCGUAGGCGGUUUGUCGCGUCGUUCGUGAAAACUUGGGGCUUAACUCCAAGCGUGCGGGCGAUACGGGCAGACUUGAGUACUACAGGGGAGACUGGAAUUCCAGGUGUAGCGGUGAAAUGCGUAGAUAUCAGGAAGAACACCCGUGGCGAAGGCGGCUCUCUGGGACGGUACUGACGCUGAGACGCGAAAGCGUGGGGAGCGAACAGG
Molecule: ribosomal RNA, 253 nt
Filed under: uncultured bacterium
Lineage: Bacteria
Description: partial 16S ribosomal RNA
Rfam family: Bacterial small subunit ribosomal RNA
Source: RNAcentral